Molecule: transfer RNA, 69 nt
Filed under: Anopheles gambiae (African malaria mosquito)
Lineage: Eukaryota; Metazoa; Arthropoda; Insecta; Diptera; Culicidae
Also listed under: 7 other names
Description: tRNA tRNA-Asp
Source: RNAcentral
AAAAAAUUAGUUUUAUAUAAAACCUUAGUAUGUCAAACUGAAAAAAUUAGUUAAAUCUAAUAUUUUUUA